CGGCAAGCAGGGAGCCGCCCUACCUGAGGGAGGGAGGGGGCGGCCAUGAGGGGGGAGCCUCACUGUACCCCCCGGGGUUUGGGGGGGGGUUUAUAGGGAGAGGUGCUCGGUGCGCUCCCAGACGUGUUUGCUUUGGCUCUAAGGGUGAAAGACAGGUGAGAAAUGCAGUUUGCUUGCUCUCUGACCUCGAUUACGUCCUGCUUCUGGCACACCAAGGUGGAGGCACCCCUCAGUGAGUGAAGGUAGAUGAUGUGGAGCUAGACCUGUGAACACCUUCCAGAUGUGGAGAUGACACGGAAUGACACGGAAUGGCUACACUGCCAUGCAGAAGGACCCCAGCAAGGUGGAGUAGGGCUGACAGAACCCUGAUGAAGCUGAGCAAAAAAACAUAAAGUCCUGCAACUGGGAGGGAACAAGCCCAGGCAGCAGUACAGGCUGGGGCUGAUCACCUGGAAGCACCUCAGCAGUGAAGGAUCAAGCUCACCAUGAGACAACAGAGCAUCAGGGGCUGGGUUAAGCAAGUUUACUGGAGCAGGGAGAGGUAAAAAUCCUCCUUACAUCCAGGUGUGGGCUCCCCUGUCUGAGAGGAAUGGACAGGAAAGAGUCCCUGCAAAGAUGAUGAAAGGAGUGGAGCUCAUGUGAUAAUAUAGGGACGGAGGACUGGAACUGCUGAGCCUGGAAAAGAAGGUUAUGGGGGAGAAUCUUAGUGUGUAUCUAUAGCAGAUUGAGGGAACAAAGAAGAAGGAGUCAAACUUCCCACUAGUGCUGAAAGACAGGACAAGCGGAACUCCUGAGAGCAAGGCUAGGUGAGGCAGAACCCUGCCUCUGAAAUCCCCAUUCCGUGUUUUGUCUCUCAUGGCCCCCUGCCCUAGGUUGUAUUGCACAAAGUUCAAGAAAAGUCACUUACUGGAAAAGGUGAAAUUGUGAAGACUACUUUCUUAUACAUCUUUAUGUAUUUAAACAUCUUAGAAAGAGGAGGGGAGAAAACAGAAGCUUUAGCCACACAUUGGUUCAGCUUUGUGUAAAUAUUUAAAAAAAAAUUCAAGAAUCUGCCCUUUUAUUGGAGUAGACCAUGAUCGUGAUAUAAUUGUACAGAGCACUUCGUGGAACAGACAUCCUCCUGUGGCAGGAACAGAGUUAAACAGAUACAACAUGUAUAACAUGAAUGCGUUAUGAAAUAACUGUUAAUACCCACACCCCUGUUCACUGUUACUAUAGCUCUUGAAUAAAUAACUCAAUAAAUUUAAACAAAUUUAUCAACGUAUAAGUUUAAUGAAAAAAUAAAAAUUCAAUUCCUGUUUUACACAUUAAAUACCGUAAGGAGACUUUAAAUUAGACUUGCACUGCAAAUAAAA
Anas platyrhynchos (mallard) is the source of this 1355-nucleotide long non-coding RNA. RefSeq lists it as uncharacterized. NCBI's taxonomy places the organism in Eukaryota, Metazoa, Chordata, Aves, Anseriformes, Anatidae. The record is from RefSeq and is a predicted model, not a curated record.